UUAAAUUGAAGAGUUUGAUCAUGGCUCAGAUUGAACGCUGGCGGCAGGCCUAACACAUGCAAGUCGAACGGUAACAGGAAACAGCUUGCUGUUUCGCUGACGAGUGGCGGACGGGUGAGUAAUGUCUGGGAAACUGCCUGAUGGAGGGGGAUAACUACUGGAAACGGUAGCUAAUACCGCAUAACGUCGCAAGACCAAAGAGGGGGACCUUCGGGCCUCUUGCCAUCGGAUGUGCCCAGAUGGGAUUAGCUAGUAGGUGGGGUAACGGCUCACCUAGGCGACGAUCCCUAGCUGGUCUGAGAGGAUGACCAGCCACACUGGAACUGAGACACGGUCCAGACUCCUACGGGAGGCAGCAGUGGGGAAUAUUGCACAAUGGGCGCAAGCCUGAUGCAGCCAUGCCGCGUGUAUGAAGAAGGCCUUCGGGUUGUAAAGUACUUUCAGCGGGGAGGAAGGGAGUAAAGUUAAUAC
This 471-nucleotide ribosomal RNA is filed under the name Escherichia coli. RNAcentral's name for it is "bacterial SSU rRNA". It matches the Rfam family "Bacterial small subunit ribosomal RNA", at positions 1 to 466 of the family's 1533-position model. The record is from RNAcentral. Lineage: Bacteria; Pseudomonadati; Pseudomonadota; Gammaproteobacteria; Enterobacterales; Enterobacteriaceae.